AGGGGUCGCGUGAUGAUCGGAUGCAUAGUUCAAAUGAUAACCCCUUUUUUGUGGGUUAUGAUUAUUUGAAACGUCUUUCGCUCCUAUCUGAUGACCUCC
Molecule: non-coding RNA, 99 nt
Organism: Musa acuminata subsp. malaccensis (wild Malaysian banana)
Lineage: Eukaryota; Viridiplantae; Streptophyta; Magnoliopsida; Zingiberales; Musaceae
Source: Rfam